RNAcentral lists this transfer RNA (72 nucleotides) under Thermoproteota archaeon. RNAcentral's name for it is "tRNA-Cys". It matches the Rfam family "tRNA". Rfam says of the family: Transfer RNA (tRNA) molecules are approximately 80 nucleotides in length. Their secondary structure includes four short double-helical elements and three loops (D, anti-codon, and T loops). Further hydrogen bonds mediate the characteristic L-shaped molecular structure. tRNAs have two regions of fundamental functional importance: the anti-codon, which is responsible for specific mRNA codon recognition, and the 3' end, to which the tRNAs corresponding amino acid is attached (by aminoacyl-tRNA synthetases). tRNAs cope with the degeneracy of the genetic code in two manners: having more than one tRNA (with a specific anti-codon) for a particular amino acid; and 'wobble' base-pairing, i.e. permitting non-standard base-pairing at the 3rd anti-codon position. The record is from RNAcentral. Lineage: Archaea; Thermoproteati; Thermoproteota. RNAcentral also lists the same sequence under 1 other name.
GCCGGGUUGGCCGAGUGGCAUAGGCAGCGGGCUGCAGACCCGUGGACGGGGGUUCGAGUCCCCCACCCGGCU